RNAcentral lists this long non-coding RNA (246 nucleotides) under Sinocyclocheilus anshuiensis. Its description in RNAcentral is "lncRNA (ENSSANG00000049381.1)". The record is from RNAcentral. Lineage: Eukaryota; Metazoa; Chordata; Actinopteri; Cypriniformes; Cyprinidae.
CUAAACUCUGCAGUACACCGGCCCUCCAGGACCGAGUUUGGGCACCCCUGUUUUAGAUGAAUGACGGCCCUUACACGCUCAUUUAGAUGCUGUUCAUGAGGACACGUCAAUUAUGAAAACUCUAUGAAGUCUCAUCAGCCACUGCUGAGAAGUAAAAACGCAGCUAACAGUUUCAGACAUCCUUUUGAUGCCAAAUGCUUACUGAGGAACGCCAGACAUGGACACGGCGACGUUAAAGUCCCCCAG